AGUGAACGCUGGCGGUAGGCCUAACACAUGCAAGUCGAACGGCAGCACAGUAAGAGCUUGCUCUUACGGGUGGCGAGUGGCGGACGGGUGAGGAAUACAUCGGAAUCUACUUUUUCGUGGGGGAUAACGUAGGGAAACUUACGCUAAUACCGCAUACGACCUACGGGUGAAAGCAGGGGAUCUUCGGACCUUGCGCGAUUGAAUGAGCCGAUGUCGGAUUAGCUAGUUGGCGGGGUAAAGGCCCACCAAGGCGACGAUCCGUAGCUGGUCUGAGAGGAUGAUCAGCCACACUGGAACUGAGACACGGUCCUGACUCCUACGGGAGGCAGCAGUGGGGAAUAUUGGACAAUGGGCGCAAGCCUGAUCCAGCCACACCGCGUGGGUGAAGAAGGCCUUCGGGUUGUAAAGCCCUUUUGUUGGGAAAGAAAAGCAGCAGGUUAAUACCCCGCUGUUCUGACGGUACCCAAAGAAUAAGCACCGGCUAACUUCGUG
This 492-nucleotide ribosomal RNA is filed under the name uncultured bacterium. RNAcentral describes it as "partial 16S ribosomal RNA". It matches the Rfam family "Bacterial small subunit ribosomal RNA", at positions 29 to 507 of the family's 1533-position model. The record is from RNAcentral.